Molecule: ribosomal RNA, 157 nt
Filed under: Aspergillus fumigatus
Lineage: Eukaryota; Fungi; Ascomycota; Eurotiomycetes; Eurotiales; Aspergillaceae
Description: 5.8S ribosomal RNA
Rfam family: 5.8S ribosomal RNA
About the family: 5.8S ribosomal RNA (5.8S rRNA) is a component of the large subunit of the eukaryotic ribosome. It is transcribed by RNA polymerase I as part of the 45S precursor that also contains 18S and 28S rRNA.
Source: RNAcentral
AACUUUCAACAACGGAUCUCUUGGUUCCGGGCAUCGAUGAAGAACGCAGCGAAAUGCGAUAAGUAAUGUGAAUUGCAGAAUUCAGUGAAUCAUCGAGUCUUUGAACGCACAUUGCGCCCCCUGGUAUUCCGGGGGGCAUGCCUGUCCGAGCGUCAUU